This 252-nucleotide ribosomal RNA is filed under the name uncultured bacterium. RNAcentral describes it as "partial 16S ribosomal RNA". It matches the Rfam family "Bacterial small subunit ribosomal RNA", at positions 524 to 775 of the family's 1533-position model. The record is from RNAcentral.
UACGGAGGGUGCAAACGUUGCUCGGAAUCAUUGGGCGUAAAGCGCACGUAGGCGGCCGACUAAGUCGGGUGUGAAAGCCCUGGGCUCAACCCAGGAAGUGCACUCGAAACUGGACGGCUUGAAUAUGGAAGAGGGUUGCGGAAUUCCCGGUGUAGAGGUGAAAUUCGUAGAUAUCGGGAGGAACACCAGUGGCGAAGGCGGCAACCUGGGCCAAUAUUGACGCUGAGGUGCGAAAGCGUGGGGAGCAAACAG